Molecule: ribosomal RNA, 253 nt
Filed under: uncultured bacterium
Lineage: Bacteria
Description: partial 16S ribosomal RNA
Rfam family: Bacterial small subunit ribosomal RNA
Source: RNAcentral
UACGGAGGGUGCAAGCGUUGUUCGGAAUCAUUGGGCGUAAAGCGCGUGUAGGCGGCCUACUAAGUCUGAUGUGAAAGCCCGGGGCUCAACCCCGGAAGUGCAUUGGAUACUGGUUGGCUAGAGGGCGAGAGAGCGAAGUGGAAUUCCUGGUGUAGGGGUGAAAUCCGUAGAUAUCAGGAGGAACAUCAGUGGCGAAGGCGGCUUCCUGGCUCGCUUCUGACGCUGAGACGCGAAAGCAUGGGUAGCAAACAGG